This 561-nucleotide ribosomal RNA is filed under the name Triticum aestivum (bread wheat). RNAcentral's name for it is "partial small subunit ribosomal RNA". Lineage: Eukaryota; Viridiplantae; Streptophyta; Magnoliopsida; Poales; Poaceae. The record is from RNAcentral.
AUGCAUAAGCUCGUAAAUGUUCAUUAUUUGGACAAGUCAACAUUUAUGCUUGGAAAUGACGAUGAAGGGGAAGAGGCUAUGGUUUUUGACACAAGUCCAAGCUUUGAUGAUCUUGUAGUUAAAGUGAGAAGCGUUUUACAUUGGAAUGACUCAAAUGCCAUGGUUAAGCUUAUUGGGAGGUAUGACGUUGGAUUGGGAGUAAAGUUCCGAUUAAAGAGUAUGCCCAUCACCUCCCAAUUGCAUUGGAAUGUGUACAAGGAAAAAGUAGACGCAUCACAAGACAGGUCUCUUGAGAUCUUUGCCACAAAGGUUGAUCCUCCUCCUCCUUUGCAAAUUGAUCUCAACCGCAAUGCAUCCUCCCCCAUACAUGAUGAUAGUGCCAAGGUGUAUGUCCCCAAUUGUUCUAGCCAACGACCAAGUAGCCAACCCAAUGAAGAUCAUAUCAAUGCUAGCGCCAUAGUACUCCGUCAUGAUGCUAUUCCUCAUGUUGAAGAAGAUGAUAUUCCUCAUGUUGAAGAAGAUGCUAGUGUUCAUGUUGAUGAUGAUGCUAUUGUUGCUUAA